This 497-nucleotide ribosomal RNA is filed under the name uncultured bacterium. RNAcentral's name for it is "partial 16S ribosomal RNA". It matches the Rfam family "Bacterial small subunit ribosomal RNA", at positions 28 to 507 of the family's 1533-position model. The record is from RNAcentral.
GAUGAACGCUGGCGGCGUGCCUAAUACAUGCAAGUCGAGCGAACAGACGAGGAGCUUGCUCCUCUGACGUUAGCGGCGGACGGGUGAGUAACACGUGGAUAACCUACCUAUAAGACUGGGAUAACUUCGGGAAACCGGAGCUAAUACCGGAUAAUAUAUUGAACCGCAUGGUUCAAUAGUGAGAGACGGUUUUGCUGUCACUUAUAGAUGGAUCCGCGCCGCAUUAGCUAGUUGGUAAGGUAACGGCUUACCAAGGCAACGAUGCGUAGCCGACCUGAGAGGGUGAUCGGCCACACUGGAACUGAGACACGGUCCAGACUCCUACGGGAGGCAGCAGUAGGGAAUCUUCCGCAAUGGGCGAAAGCUUGACGGAGCAACGCCGCGUGAGUGAUGAAGGUCUUCGGAUCGUAAAACUCUGUUAUUAGGGGAGAACAAAUGUGUAAGUAACUAUGCACGUCUUGACGGUACCUAAUCAGAAAGCCACGGCUAACUACGUG